CCUCGGGCGGGCAGUCGCCUCCCAGCGAGCGGCCGCGCAGCCAGCAGCUCCAGCCGGACACGCCGCGCGGAAGAGCACGGGCGUGCAGAUGUAACGUACACGUGACGAAGCCGGGAUUUGAACCGCAGACGCCGUCAGUUGUGCCCCUCGGCGGCCAUCGCCUCACCUCGUGGUGUACCAGCAGCCCUACCAGACAUCGGUCAACAGCUCAACAGGACGAAGGCGACGCUAGGCCAAUCACCGCGCACCUCAAGUGUACGCUCCAUCUCGACUUCGAAGAUUUUCGUCUGCAGCCACCAUAAGCUCAGGACCCCGGAGCCCUCGCCCGCCCUGCUGCAGCUGACGACUCCGCAUGCGCACGCUGCUGGCCGUGUUGUGCGUGGCCUGCGCCAGUGCCCUCCUCUGCCCCCGGGCGGCGGCCGAGCAGAG
Schistocerca nitens (vagrant locust) is the source of this 429-nucleotide long non-coding RNA. RefSeq lists it as uncharacterized. The transcript is spliced from 3 exons. The record is from RefSeq and is a predicted model, not a curated record. Lineage: Eukaryota; Metazoa; Arthropoda; Insecta; Orthoptera; Acrididae.